Molecule: small nucleolar RNA, 171 nt
Filed under: Verruconis gallopava
Lineage: Eukaryota; Fungi; Ascomycota; Dothideomycetes; Venturiales; Sympoventuriaceae
Source: RNAcentral
ACGUCUCUUGCCUCGCUCAGUCUUUCCGCGUUCAACUACGGGAGACUUCGAGCUGGAUGCAUACAUCAUAUGUAUGAGACAAGAAUAAACAACCCAAUCGACGAUCUUUGAGUACGAAAGCUACGGCACUUGUUUUCAGCGUGGCUCUUCGUAAUUUAUCUGUCGAUAUAG